This 635-nucleotide long non-coding RNA is filed under the name Sorghum bicolor (sorghum). RNAcentral describes it as "long non-coding RNA (SBIC_LNC018768)". Lineage: Eukaryota; Viridiplantae; Streptophyta; Magnoliopsida; Poales; Poaceae. The record is from RNAcentral.
GAACGCUCAAAUUGGAUCCUGGCAUGUUAGCACUUAUGCAAGAUAUAGUGGAAGGGUAAAUUUGUGGAAUCACACAAUCUCACCUCUUACUUACCAAUGCUCUUUCCUGUUCUCAAGGACAGUGAAUUGUGCUAGUGUAGCAGCUCAAAAGAAGUGAUUCCGAGGUCGCAAGGAUUAUGAGUCAAAUGUCCUUGUUUCAAUUUUUGGUGGAGCUAUAGGUGGCUAAACAAGAGAGGCUACGGUACUAAAAAUCAAGUGAUUUGAUGUGCUCAAAAGGUAUAAUGUUGCUGGUAUAUAAAUCCCCAAGAAUCCGAAUAUGUAAACUGAAUUUUCAGUAAGUAAACCGCAAUACAACCCCCUUUCCUCUUCUUCUAUUUUUCUGUUCUUUAUCUUUUCUUUUCUCUUAAUUUUUUUGUUUCUGAUUUUUUGAACUCUUUUUUAUACUAACAGGGGUGCAGAUAACAAAUGAAACAUGUAUAUGUAAAGAGGGUGACUAGCAACUUGAUGAACACAAAAACACAAGAUAACAGUACCGCCAAAGGGCUUUAGGUUUUUUUGUGGCUUUUUCAGUGGACUAUAGGUGAUGAACAAAACAGUAACAAACGAUAGAUAAACUAAAAGUAGAUAUAUGGAUG